GGCCGCUUAUAAGUGUAAUUGUGUUACAGCAAAAAGUGUUCAUCUGCCAAAAACUGAUUUCAGUCAAAUAAAAAAGUAUUGCAGCAGGGCUCAAUUUUGGAUGGACCUGUUUGGAGACCUGAGAGACUCUGGACACUUUAACGACUUAUUGAGAUUCUGCUUCAGUAAUGUUCUGCAAAAAGACCUGGAUGAGAGCACAGACCUCUGGAAUAAGCACAGGAUUACACUCUCCAGACAUCCAUCAUGUCCUGGGGGAACUACAGACGAACUCUAUCUCUUACCUCUCAUAUCAACUGACAAUGACUUGACUAUAUCCAUUCUCACAAAAAUAUGUAAUGUGUAUUAAAGCAUAAAUUGCACCACACAUAUUAUUGGAAAUACAUUUGGAUUUGAAGUCAUGUUUUCCCUUUAUGGUAAAUUAUUGUGUCACUAUGCAGGUUUGGUUCUAAGGACUGGAUAUGUUUCCAGAGUCAAGGCAAACUCUUCAUUCAUGCAGUGAUCCAGACAUCCAGGAUUAUCUUCAACAGACUGUUGAGCGAAAUGGAUUACAGCAGCCACAUAAUUGGGAGUCAGCCUCAGAACUUUAUGUCACCUUGAAAGAAAUAGCUGGCCUAUAAAUAUGGUCUACUGCAGCCCACUCUUAAAGGCCAGAUGUUAAAGGAAAACAUUCUCAAAUGUGGCUUAGCUGUUUGAGUAUCAUGUUUGGCAAGUGGAGUUCAGUAUAUGCAGUGUCAUAUCAGAGUGGAGACAUACAUUAAACUCAAAUGUAACUCUCAAACUAUAUUUGUUUAUUUUCGGAUUCACCAUCGAGUUAACUGUGUGUCAAUUGUAGGUCUGAACAACCAAAGAAACGUGGUUCUUUUCAAGAGGUAUUGUUAACAAGCUUGUUUGCAAGCACAACAUGUUAUACACUGUUUCAAAUGUGAAACUACAUACAUUUUAGCUGAGUACAAUUUUACUGUUACUUGUAAUGUGACCUGUACUUAAAAAAAUGUCUGUGAUUUUUCAUUGAACAAAGUAAUGAACAGAAAUAAUACACAUUAAAAUACUUUGAACUGAG
Long non-coding RNA from Esox lucius (northern pike), 1060 nucleotides. RefSeq lists it as uncharacterized. NCBI's taxonomy places the organism in Eukaryota, Metazoa, Chordata, Actinopteri, Esociformes, Esocidae. The transcript has 2 exons. The record is from RefSeq and is a predicted model, not a curated record.